This 356-nucleotide long non-coding RNA is filed under the name Trifolium pratense (red clover). RNAcentral describes it as "long non-coding RNA (TPRA_LNC007930)". The record is from RNAcentral. Lineage: Eukaryota; Viridiplantae; Streptophyta; Magnoliopsida; Fabales; Fabaceae.
UUUGUUGUCGGGAAUAUAAGAUCAAUUGAAUAAAUCUUACAUUUGGUAUCAGAGCCUUUCUGCCUCUGCCUUGCUCAUUGUUCCAAUUUUUCCAUUUUCGGUAAAAUUUGAAGAUUUCAUUUUAAUUUAAGUUUAAAACAUUGUUAUUGCAAAAUAUUAUGAGAAAUCUUCGUUUCAUUGAGUUUCUAAGCUUUAUGUUAUUUGAGUCAUUCGAAAUAGUGCCCAGGAUAUCAAGAAUUGUUUCCAAGUUUGAGAUUUUAAGUUUUGGGUAUUUUGUUUUAAACCCUUUUAGUCAAAAUUAAAAUUGCAAUUGUGUUGGAAAUAAUUUGUAAGGUUUUUAUGGGUUAAUGAUUGUC